ACAUAACUCUGUAUCAACGUAUGGGCUGACUGGGAAAAGAGGCUCUUGGAAGAGUUAUUGAGGAAAAAGAAAGAAAGGCAAAGUGUGGAAGAAAGCAGAAAUAAAAUCACUGAAGGAAAACACGACAGCAGAGAGAGAAGGAGAAAGAGGGAGAGGCUAUACAAGACUGAAGAGAUGUAGAGAAGCAGUGCAGUGAAAGAGUGUGUGUGAAUCCCUGUGGUGCAGGAAGAAAUAGACACAUCUAAAGAGUGAGAAGGGCAGUUCUUUCCUCCUCUUUUUUUAUUUCUUAAACAAUAUACACAAAUAGAAAAUGAUAGCAGCUGAAAGAGUGAUGAUUUGACAAAGCACAUAUCCUGAGCUGACUUAACUAUUUCCUAACUCUGAAGCACAGAUCGAAAUUUCAGACUUUUCUCCAAACUCUGCAUCUGUCUGAUGUUGCUUCUUAAAUCUUGUCUGACUUUUUAAUCUUAUUUAUCUUUUUGCCCUCUCUUCCCUUCAUCCCACCUUUCAUUCUCACUUUGUUUAAUCUCAUUGUGAUGUUACCUGAAGUGUACGGUGGUUGUUGCUUUUUUUUUUUUUUUGGGAAUGUUGACAAGGUGACAGGCAAGCUGCACUGACGUCGAACCUCACUCUUCUGUCAGGACGAGAGAGACAG
Perca flavescens (yellow perch) is the source of this 655-nucleotide long non-coding RNA. RefSeq lists it as uncharacterized. The transcript is spliced from 3 exons. The record is from RefSeq and is a predicted model, not a curated record. NCBI's taxonomy places the organism in Eukaryota, Metazoa, Chordata, Actinopteri, Perciformes, Percidae.